UUGACAGCUGUUAGCAUGCCAAUUUGUGAACCACAAGCGUACGUAUUAGUUGUAGCUCUUCCCUUAGAGUAUUUUCCCUAGAUUAUCAAUCCAUAGAACUUAUAGCACAAGAUCUAUUUCAACUAGCAUUGUUGGUAUGAACUUGGUGUUUAUGAGAGAUUUAGAUCCAAUCUAUAAGCAUGUACAGACAGAUAAUAGAUAGAGUAAAGGUAACCAAUCUAGAGCAACCUAGACUAUGCAUAUGUUGUAAUUCUGAGCAUGGAUAGCAAAAUAACACAUAUAUGAUCUUAGUAAAAAGCAUCUUUAAAUUUACACCUAUGGUUCGGAUCCCGAAACCCCCAC
Molecule: long non-coding RNA, 342 nt
Filed under: Setaria viridis
Lineage: Eukaryota; Viridiplantae; Streptophyta; Magnoliopsida; Poales; Poaceae
Description: long non-coding RNA (SVIR_LNC004487)
Source: RNAcentral